GAUGAACGCUGGCGGCGUGCCUAAUACAUGCAAGUCGAGCGAACGGACGAGAAGCUUGCUUCUCUGAUGUUAGCGGCGGACGGGUGAGUAACACGUGGAUAACCUACCUAUAAGACUGGGAUAACUUCGGGAAACCGGAGCUAAUACCGGAUAAUAUUUUGAACCGCAUGGUUCAAAAGUGAAAGACGGUCUUGCUGUCACUUAUAGAUGGAUCCGCGCUGCAUUAGCUAGUUGGUAAGGUAACGGCUUACCAAGGCAACGAUGCAUAGCCGACCUGAGAGGGUGAUCGGCCACACUGGAACUGAGACACGGUCCAGACUCCUACGGGAGGCAGCAGUAGGGAAUCUUCCGCAAUGGGCGAAAGCCUGACGGAGCAACGCCGCGUGAGUGAUGAAGGUCUUCGGAUCGUAAAACUCUGUUAUUAGGGAAGAACAUAUGUGUAAGUAACUGUGCACAUCUUGACGGUACCUAAUCAGAAAGCCACGGCUAACUACGUGCCAGCAGCCGCGGUAAUACGUAGGUGGCAAGCGUUAUCCGGAAUUAUUGGGCGUAAAGCGCGCGUAGGCGGUUUUUUAAGUCUGAUGUGAAAGCUCACGGCUCAACCGUGGAGGGUCAUUGGAAACUGGAAAACUUGAGUGCAGAAGAGGAAAGUGGAAUUCCAUGUGUAGCGGUGAAAUGCGCAGAGAUAUGGAGGAACACCAGUGGCGAAGGCGACUUUCUGGUCUGUAACUGACGCUGAUGUGCGAAAGCGUGGGGAUCAAACAGGAUUAGAUACCCUGGUAGUCCACGCCGUAAACGAUGAGUGCUAAGUGUUAGGGGGUUUCCGCCCCUUAGUGCUGCAGCUAACGCAUUAAGCACUCCGCCUGGGGAGUACGACCGCAAGGUUGAAACUCAAAGGAAUUGACGGGGACCCGCACAAGCGGUGGAGCAUGUGGUUUAAUUCGAAGCAACGCGAAGAACCUUACCAAAUCUUGACAUCCUUUGACAACUCUAGAGAUAGAGCCUUCCCCUUCGGGGGACAAAGUGACAGGUGGUGCAUGGUUGUCGUCAGCUCGUGUCGUGAGAUGUUGGGUUAAGUCCCGCAACGAGCGCAACCCUUAAGCUUAGUUGCCAUCAUUAAGUUGGGCACUCUAAGUUGACUGCCGGUGACAAACCGGAGGAAGGUGGGGAUGACGUCAAAUCAUCAUGCCCCUUAUGAUUUGGGCUACACACGUGCUACAAUGGACAAUACAAAGGGCAGCGAAACCGCGAGGUCAAGCAAAUCCCAUAAAGUUGUUCUCAGUUCGGAUUGUAGUCUGCAACUCGACUACAUGAAGCUGGAAUCGCUAGUAAUCGUAGAUCAGCAUGCUACGGUGAAUACGUUCACGGGUCU
This 1372-nucleotide ribosomal RNA is filed under the name uncultured bacterium. Its description in RNAcentral is "bacterial SSU rRNA". It matches the Rfam family "Bacterial small subunit ribosomal RNA", at positions 28 to 1381 of the family's 1533-position model. The record is from RNAcentral.